GACGAACGCUGGCGGCGUGCUUAACACAUGCAAGUCGAACGCUGAAGCUCAGCUUUUGUUGGGUGGAUGAGUGGCGAACGGGUGAGUAACACGUGAGUAACCUGCCCCCUUCUUUGGGAUAACGCCCGGAAACGGGUGCUAAUACUGGAUAUUCACUGGUCUUCGCAUGGGGGUUGGUGGAAAGGGUUUUUCUGGUGGGGGAUGGGCUCGCGGCCUAUCAGCUUGUUGGUGGGGUGAUGGCCUACCAAGGCUUUGACGGGUAGCCGGCCUGAGAGGGUGACCGGUCACAUUGGGACUGAGAUACGGCCCAGACUCCUACGGGGGGCAGCAGUGGGGAAUAUGGCACAAUGGGCGCAAGCCUGAUGCAGCGACGCCGCGUGAGGGAUGGAGGCCUUCGGGUUGUGAACCUCUUUCGCUCAUGGUCAAGCCGCAACAAUGGUUGUGGUGAGGGUAGUGGGUAAAGAAGCGCCGGCUAACUACGUG
This 483-nucleotide ribosomal RNA is filed under the name uncultured bacterium. RNAcentral's name for it is "partial 16S ribosomal RNA". It matches the Rfam family "Bacterial small subunit ribosomal RNA", at positions 28 to 507 of the family's 1533-position model. The record is from RNAcentral.